GAUGAACGCUGGCGGCGUGCCUAAUACAUGCAAGUCGAGCGAACAGACGAGGAGCUUGCUCCUCUGACGUUAGCGGCGGACGUGUGAGUAACACGUGGAUACCCUACCUAUCAGACUGGGAUAACUUCGUGAAACCGGAGCUAAUACCGGAUAAUAUAUUGAACCGCAUGGUUCAAUAGUGAAAGAUUGUUUUGCUGUCACUCAUAGAUGGAUCCUCGCCGCAUUAGUUAGUUGGUAAGGAAACGGCUUACCAAGGCAACAAACCGCAGCCGACUUGUGAGGUGAGCCGGCCCAACGGGAACUGAGAACGGGUCAGGACUCCAACGGGGGGCAGAAGUAGGGAAUCUCGGGAAAGGACCAAAAGCUUGACGGACAACCCCGGCGUAGGUGAUAAAGGUCUUCGGAUCGAAAGCCUCUGUUAUAAAGAAAGAACAAAUGUAUAAGUAAAUAUGCACGUCGUGACGGUACCUAAUCAGAAAGCCACGGCUAACUACGUG
This 497-nucleotide ribosomal RNA is filed under the name uncultured bacterium. Its description in RNAcentral is "partial 16S ribosomal RNA". It matches the Rfam family "Bacterial small subunit ribosomal RNA", at positions 28 to 507 of the family's 1533-position model. The record is from RNAcentral.